GUCAUGCUGAUGCUGCUGGUCUGGGGACCACACUGUAAGACCCACUUAUACACUGCAUGUACUACUGCCCCAUGUGAUGUAGGGAACACAUACAGCUGCCACUGGCAUAGUAUACAACAUCUUAAAGCCAGAUGCUAAUAGGAACACCAGACUUUCUACUAUUUUAGAAUAUUCAAAAUACAAGGAUGCAUCUCCAGUCUGUGACUUGAAACAUCCCCGAAAAGCUGAGGACCUUGAAAGUGUAAGGUAUCAAGUGCUGUGAUGGGAGGAUCAUAGAUUUCAAGAAGGGAACAGUUUAUACCUCUUGCCAACAACCCACUUUCUAAACCAUCUGGCCAGGGGAAAGGCCAUUUUCUGAGCAUGUCCAAGUUUCCUUAAGCAAACAUUAUGCAGAAGCCAUGGGAGAAGCAAAAGGAGGAAGAAUGCUGUCUUUCAGGACAAUGGUGUUUUACAGUUAUGCUUGACUUUUCCCAUUGGCCAUCGCGGCAUAGAGCCGAGCAUCACCCACUUCAACCCAGGAGCGCAGCAGUGGAGAAACAGUGAGGAGGGAACCUGAUUUCCUUUGCUAGAGGAACUUGUAUCUUUCCUUCCUAUCCCUUAUGAAUGGGGGAGUGAUAGGCAUGACGUCACAGUUCCCUGAUGAACUUGGAUCUGCUUCACUUCAGUUCUUCUUUUAGAAAGGCCUGUCUAUGGAUAAAGAAAAUGUGGCACAUAUACACCAUGGAAUACUAUGCAGCCAUAAAAAAGAAUGAGUUCAUGUCCUUUGCAGGGACAUGAAUGAAGCUGGAAACCAUUACUUUCAGCAAACUAACACAGGAACAGAAAACCAAACACCGCAUGUUCUCACUCAUAAGUGGGAGUUGAACAAUAAGAACAUAUGGGCACAGGGAGGGGAACAUCACACACUGGGGCCUGUCCAGGGGUGGGGGGCUAGGGGAGGCACAGCAUUAGGAAAAAUACCUAAUGAAGAUGAUGGGUUGGUGGGUGCAGCAAACCACCAUGGCACAUGUAUACUUGUGUAACAAACCUGCACGUUCUGUACAUGUAUCCCAAAACUUGAGUAUAAUUAAAAAAAAAAAAGAAAGAAAGGUCAGUUUAGGGAGUCUAUACUCAGGACAACUUGAAUCUAUGCUCCCAGGUAGACAUUUAAAAAAGAAAAGAAAGGAAGGAAGAGAAAAAAAAAGGGCAAUCUUGACCCUGCACUUAUAAGUCUUAUCUUUUCCCUGUUAAAAAAAAAAAAAAACAAAAAAAAAAACUAGGCCUGGUGCAGUGGUUCACACCUAUAAUCCCGCCACUUUGGGAGGCUGAGGUGGGAGCAUCAAUUGAGCCCAGGAAUUUGAGACCAACCUGGGGAAAAUAGUGAGACCUCAUGUCCACAAAAAAUAAAAAAAUUGGCUGGCUGUGGUGGCGUGUGCCUGUGGUCCCAGCUACUCUAGAGGCUGAGCUAGGAAGAUCACUUGAGCCCAGGAGGUUGAGGCUGCAGUGAUCCAUGAUCACACUACUAUACUCCAGCCUGGGCAAUAGAGACUCUGUCUCAAAAACAACAAAACAACAGCAAAAACAAGCCCCUUUGUCCCAAUCAAAGGAGUGCUCUCAUUCUACCCUAAUGAAAUGCAUCCUGUGUUUCUGUGCAUUUGCACAUGCUUCCCCUCUGCCCACGCCUUUCCUCUCACUUCCUCACACAGGCUAAUUCUUCCUUGUCCAAUGUCCCUAUCUUUUGGAAGUCAUCCCAACUCUCAGGAGGACUAAGUCCUGUGGGCUCUCCUAGCACCCUAAGCAAAUUUCAGGCUGUUCCCACAUGACAGAAUAAACUGCUUGACCGUCUUGACUCUCCAGUGACCAGCACACUGUGAGGUCCAUCAAUAUUCGGUGAAUUAGCAAACAAAUGUUCCUUCCUGCCUGGUAUUAUCUCAGGCACCAUCAAUAUUUCUGUACAGGAUUUACCUCUUGCACAAAGGGUAUCUCUUCUCUAAAUUCCCAUUGUAUCUCUUGUUUGUGGUAUUCAUUGUGAAACACAAUCAUUUAGCACCUUGCAUUGUUGUUCACUCAUUUCUGUGUAUUUUGCUCCCCAACCAGAAUGUUUGCUGCUAAAAUGUCCAGACUAUAUCUCAGAUGUCGUGUCCUUUGUUAUUCCCGCAGUUUCUAAUAUAAUACUAUACACACAGCAGGCAAUCGAUGAAUGAUGGAUGGAUGAGUGCAUGAAUCCAAAAAAACGUUUCUUUAAAUUGUGACCUCCAUGAAGAUUUACAUGAUCUUGGAGAGAUUUUUAACAUAAAAAAUAAACCAGCCUUUACAUGACAGCACCCAUUUGGUGCC
This is a long non-coding RNA of Symphalangus syndactylus (siamang), 2316 nucleotides long. RefSeq lists it as uncharacterized. The record is from RefSeq and is a predicted model, not a curated record. NCBI's taxonomy places the organism in Eukaryota, Metazoa, Chordata, Mammalia, Primates, Hylobatidae.